Meleagris gallopavo (turkey) is the source of this 1946-nucleotide non-coding RNA. Lineage: Eukaryota; Metazoa; Chordata; Aves; Galliformes; Phasianidae. The record is from RefSeq and is a predicted model, not a curated record.
UUUCCUCCUUUUUCCCCUCAGGAAGCCACUGACUGCCUAGAAAUUAGGGAGGGCGUGAGAAGUCCAGUUGAUCAAGGCGGAACCUUUUUUUCUGAGAGCCUUUCCACAUCUGCCUCUUGCAGGCUCUCUGGACGAUCCCUGUUGUGCCAUGUUUUGUGGCUUUCUCUGUAGGAAGAAUUUGUCUUGAUGAAGAUUCCUAACAUUGGUAAUGUGAUGAAUAAAUUUGAGAUCCUUGGGGUUGUAGGUGAAGGAGCCUAUGGUGUUGUACUCAAAUGCAGACACAAGGUGACUUGAAAAUAAGUAUGAAAAAUGGCAAUAUGAUACUUCAAAUAAUUUCAACAGAAGAACCUCUGGUUUAGUUUCUUGCAUAUAUUCUAACUUGUCACAUGAUCUGUGCAGGUAAAUAUGCAUUGUUUUGACAAGUGAAAGGGUGGUGAAAACGAGGGCUAGUGAGGCUGAUAAGACUGAUAAAAACUUUUAAUAAUGUAUUUUCUUUUUGCAAACCUUACGACAAAUCUUAGCUCUGGAUGCAGUGUUUCAAGAUACAAAUGAGUCUCUAGCACACAUCCUCUUGGAGAUAUUGUGCACAUGCAUAAUAACAAAGCUAGUUAGUAGUUCCCUACGUUAUUAUUUUCUCUCCUGGAUUUCGUGUUACUUGUUAUCUCUUACUCUUGCAGUAUUUUAAGCACCGGCCAGAGACAUGUAGAAUCCCUUUAGAAAGGGAAAAACAUAAAAUCUGGGGAGAUUCUAUGUUAGCAUGAAGCACUGUCUGCCUUGGGGGAGACUUGAUCCCUUUCAAGAAUGGCUUUGUUAAAUUUUAUAUUUUGAGAUAGAGUAAUAACACUGGAUGUGUAUUGUAAAAGAUCUGGGUGGUGACGAUGCAGUUUAUGCUGGGCAGGCCCCUUCUUUAUGGAAAGUGGACACAAGAAGAUUCUAGGAUUUCCUGCACUGAUGAGUGAAUUUCCAGCUCUUUGUGCCAUUGGCAGUGUCCUAAUCUGAAAGAGUUUGGUACUCUGAUUGUAGUGUAAUGGCAGGCUUAUCUGAGUUGUCUGAGUUCCUGUGAGAGUACCUUGCAGUGUAACAAAUGACGGGAGAGGGAUGGCUUUCCUUCAGCAGUGGAAGGUGUUUUUUCCUACAGCCAGUGAAAGGACACUGAAUUUCUUUGAUUUUCAUGCAGAAUUACCUGCAAAUGUAAGGGUGUGUUUUUUGUGUUCACUGUUUGACGGCUGACUGGCUGUACCUAAAAGUACUGAGUUUUAAUAAAUGAUUCUUCCACGUGGUAUGUCUGCAUGUAGUGCAGUUGAACUUUGAAUGCAUUAUGCAGCCUUUUUCAGCUCCACAAGGGAGGUCCAGAAAUGGUGUAAAAACUAGAGGGUGCUGCAGUAACCAAGCUACCUUCGAUCGUGUUCCCUCAGCAUGCACUGCUUUUCUUUUAGCACAAAGCUAACAAUUCUGUUUAACAAUUCAAGUGCAAAAUUGUUUAUAUUCAUCUUUGCAAACAGUGCUAACGUGCAAGAACCAAAUUCUCAGCAAUUUUAAGUCAACUUAUUUCCAUUGUAUUAGAGAGAAGGUAAAAUUUGCAUCAAAAGAGGAGUGGGUCCUUAAUUGAAACAUUUUGUGGUAUAUAAUCCAGUAGUGCUUCAAUAAAUAGGUAGCUUUUUGUACCAGUGCAUUUCAGUGGUGUUUGUAUAUGGAUUUAAAUUGGAGAGAAUGUGCUAAGGGGUAAAUACCUUGUCAUUAUUUCAUGAUUUUUUUUUUCUUUGCUAGCAGAAUGUUGUCAGGAAAACAAGAGUACCUCCACUAGAAUGACUACAUUUACGUUAUUAUAUAGCAUAUUUCUAUUGCAAAUUCUUUACUGCUGCUUCCUUGUAAGGAUAACUUGUUUUUCUGCUGGUUUUUUUUUCAAUGUGAAACUAAUACAAAUGUUAAGAAUAAAACAGAGAUCU